CAGUAGCCGCGGGAAUACGUAGGUGGCAAGCGUUGUCCGGAAUUAUUGGGCGUAAAGGGCUCGCAGGCGGUUUGUUAAGUCUGAUGUGAAAGCCCCCGGCUCAACCGGGGAGGGGCAUUGGAAACUGGGAAACUUGAGUGCAGAAGAGGAGAGUGGAAUUCCACGUGUAGCGGUGAAAUGCGUAGAGAUGUGGAGGAACACCAGUGGCGAAGGCGACUCUCUGGUCUGUAACUGACGCUGAGGAGCGAAAGCGUGGGGAGCGAACAGGAUUAGAUACCCCGGUAGUCCCUGUCUCUUAUAA
RNAcentral lists this ribosomal RNA (301 nucleotides) under uncultured bacterium. RNAcentral's name for it is "partial 16S ribosomal RNA". It matches the Rfam family "Bacterial small subunit ribosomal RNA", at positions 509 to 809 of the family's 1533-position model. The record is from RNAcentral.